UACGGGGGGGGUAAGCGUUGUUCGGAAUUACUGGGCGUAAAGGGCUCGUAGGCGGCCAACUAAGUCAUACGUGAAAUCCCUCAGCUUAACUGGGGAACUGCGUGUGAUACUGGAUGGCUUGGAUUUGGGGGAGGGAUGCGGAAUUCCAGGUGUAGCGGUGAAAUGCGUAGAUAUCUGGAGGAACACCGGUGGCGAAGGCGGCAUCCUGGACCAAUAUUGACGCUGAGGAGCGAAAGCCAGGGGAGCAAACGGG
This 253-nucleotide ribosomal RNA is filed under the name uncultured bacterium. RNAcentral's name for it is "partial 16S ribosomal RNA". It matches the Rfam family "Bacterial small subunit ribosomal RNA", at positions 524 to 776 of the family's 1533-position model. The record is from RNAcentral.